RNAcentral lists this ribosomal RNA (468 nucleotides) under uncultured bacterium. RNAcentral describes it as "partial 16S ribosomal RNA". It matches the Rfam family "Bacterial small subunit ribosomal RNA", at positions 28 to 507 of the family's 1533-position model. The record is from RNAcentral.
GACGAACGCUGGCGGCGUGCUUAACACAUGCAAGUCGAACGGAAAGGCCCUGCUUUUGUGGGGUGCUCGAGUGGCGAACGGGUGAGUAACACGUGAGUAACCUGCCCUUGUCUUUGGGAUAACUUCAGGAAACUGGGGCUAAUACCGGAUAGGAGCUCCUGCUGCAUGGUGGGGGUUGGAAAGUUUCGGCGGUUGGGGAUGGACUCGCGGCUUAUCAGCUUGUUGGUGUGGUAGUGGCUUACCAAGGCUUUGACGGGUAGCCGGCCUGGGAGGGUGACCGGCCACAUUGGGACUGAGAUACGGCCCAGACUCCUACGGGAGGCAGCAGUGGGGAAUAUUGCACAAUGGGCGGAAGCCUGAUGCAGCAACGCCGCGUGCGGGAUGACGGCCUUCGGGUUGUAAACCGCUUUCGCCUGUGACGAAGCGUGAGUGACGGUAAUGGGUAAAGAAGCACCGGCUAACUACGUG